CUAUGUUAUGGAUAUAACAUGGCGGAAGGAG
This 31-nucleotide non-coding RNA is filed under the name unclassified sequences. RNAcentral describes it as "L31-Firmicutes ribosomal protein leader". It matches the Rfam family "L31-Firmicutes ribosomal protein leader". The record is from RNAcentral.